ACUGAGAGAGGGGCCGUUACAGAAAAGGUUUGGAACUACUGUGCUAGGGCAUGAACCUCUGACUUACUGCUCAGAUCAUCGAUCACACGUAGAUAGCUACAAUGACUUAUACAAAGCACUAUUUAAAGGCAAGUUCUCAGGCAGACCUCACAUAAUUGGCCAACAAUCAGCCAAAUCAGUUCAGAAGAUGUUUCAGCAGAGAAUCAAGUGUUGGUUUCAACAUUUUUUCUCAGAGAUGUCUCACACAGAGGAAAUAUAGACCAGAAUGCAUUAUACCACAGACUUUCUCUUGUUGUAUCAUUAAACCAAAUUUAGAAAUGUGGUACAUCAUCUGCUUCUUCUCAUGUUAAAGCAACACAGGUUGGCUCUUUUUGGAAAGAUAUAUCACCAGUUAUACCAGUUAUAUAUUCAAAUUCAGUGCCCGUCUUUGUACUUAUUUUUCAAUUUAAGAUCGUGGCAACUUACCUAGGGCUUUGGCAUAACAGUGUGGAGGACCUCAUCGGUAUGGAUCUACUGAAGCAUUUGAUCGAGCUCGGCCAUGUGAAAAGUAUUACUGAACGGAACAAAUGUACAAAGCUCCAUCAAGUAGGCCUUAAGGAUACCUACUUUUCACAGGAAAAGUCAACGCAUGUCUGCCAGCAGCGUGCGCUACUCUAUCUCGCCUUUAAAGCCAGCAACUGGACCUCCAGCUGGGAGACAUCAAACCAAAGGUCAGGUUGUGGAUGGGUACGAGAGUAUCUGGAGGCCAGUGAGGAUGAGAGAGCAGAGCAGAGGCCAGUGGCUCACCAUGCCAAUGCGGAUGACCUCCCUUUAUUAUGGCUUUUUAUACCAUUCUUAUUUAUAAUAAAGUGUUUCUCACCAAAACGUAGAGUAGAACAACCAUCAAGUGUUUAGGAGGUUUACUGCUUUGAGACUUGUGCAGAAUAAUUUGUGGCGCCUUGAAUAAGACUUGAAUAGGACAUUUUAUACAAAUGGUGGUGCAGUAAUUGUGUCCCUAAAAGUCCCAAGAUGCAUGUUUGUUGAUGUAAUAUUGAUGUCCAACAGAUGAACAGGGACUUGUUGUCUGUAGUUAAACCCAGAAGAGGUUUAGUGAGCUGCUGCCUUUAAAGCUCUAAAAGAUGCUAUUCUUUGUGUCUUCAUUACAGCAUGUAAUGAUUUCUGCUGCUGAGCUCUAGAAAGCAUUUUUAAAGUGCAUGAUUAGUGUGCGUUCAGUCAAACAAUGAGCAUGCUUUGUAACCUUGAGCACUAUAAAUCAUGUUAUUUAGACAAGUCUCACAAGUAUUUAUUUGGCUGACAUGAAAAACGUCAUGAGCUCUCGGCCAAAACACCAGGACAGUGCAUGUUGCUAAUGAAGUAUUUUGAAAAUUAGGGUCACAUAUUAACACAAGGCAUCAUUCUCCCUUGCUUGUUAUUUGAAUAAUUCAGUGUGCAAAUUAGUUAAUGAAACCAAUUGCUUUGCCUCAUCAUACUGUACCUAAUGUGGGGCCUCUUUUAAAAUUCACAAAUGAUUUCCUGUCCAAUUAAGUUUUCAUUUUGAUAGUAAUUAUGGUAGCGUUGCACUUUUUGGUAUUAGUUACUCGUUGUGGUUCGUGAUCCAGUUCUUCGCAGAGGCUCGUUAAUAGUCAUCAUGCACAGGGUAAAUUUGCGUACACGUCGGGGGAUGAAAAAUAUUCUGUAACGAGUAAGAUUUUGGAAUUUAAAAUGCUUUGUCUUCAGCAACAAUACACGCACAAUACACGCAGUGUUUUAUUAUCAUGACAAUGAACAUUUACAUGCACAAAUUAGGACACUGUAAAGCACACAUAGAAGCUUACAGGCCACUAGCUAUCUAAUCAAACCAUCAAAUUAAAACUCUGAAAUAAACUCAGAAAAGUCCAGCUUCUGUAAGGCCUGAUCAGAAAAUAUAAAUAAAUAAAUAUGAAAAUAACAUAAGGCAAACAAACCGUAUGAUUUGCUACCUUUCAUUCCCGUUGCUCACCACUAUGUUAUUGUUUGAUGAUCUUAAUUGCAGAGAUAUCACCUUGAGUUCAAUAUGUCUCAACUUUUGUAACAAAAUGAUGAAAUAAUAUAAUAUAAAAUAAAAUAAAUAAUACUGUGAUGAUAAUAAAAAUCCAAUAAAGUUCUGUCUUUGGAGGCAACGGAGAUUGUGAGAGUGCGUUGAUUAGAAAACAACCAUUCAUGUUGCAACACUCCUGAGUUGUGUAAAGAUACUCUGCGCCUUGAAGUGCUAUGAAAAUUAGUAUGAUGGUCUUCAAGGCCGGGGACUUUUGUUGUCUUUGUCUUCUCAUUUCCCUUUGCAUCUUCGUAUCACUCAUCCGAUUUCACAAAGUAAAGAGAAGUCUUUUCAAACAAACACAAAUGUUACACAUGCAAAAACAUUCAAAUUGCUUUUCUGUUUUUUUCACAUGCCGAUUUACCGACAGAAAUAAUAAUGUCACUGGCCUGUUUCUAGGGCGAGGUUAAGUGUGUGAAAAAGCAUGUGUGCUACAUGUGUUGUACAUUACAUUAAAUGUAUCAACACAGUAUUUAGAUACAUGAAAAAAAUCACUGUGCGUCUGUUUAGAAGAAAGUCAAAAAAUUUGUUUUAUGAAAACAAUCUUAUUUUUUACACAGUUUUUGACAAAGAAAUUCAGCACAAUGGAAGAUGUUCCUGAAAUUCUUGCCUGCUAAGCACAACAGAGACAGCACAAUACAUCAUAGUGUUCUAUUGUCAAAACAAGGACAUACACCAUCUAGGACACUUAGCAGUUUACAGACCAGUAACUAAUUAAACCAUCACAUUAAAACUUAAAAAUGAUCUCGUAGAUAUCAACUCAUACUUCAAUAUGAAGGCCUCCUUGUAGAAAAAUACAAAUAUCAAAAUCAAACAAAACAGUGAAAACCACACUUGACUGACAUCUAUAGUGCUUCAAUAACCGCAGAUGAAAUCUACACAAAAUCUACCUCAAUGGAGGCAAUACAAGGAUUUCUGUUGUUUCUUUGUGUGUUUAUGGGGAACUAAAACUGUGGCAUGUUUCCUCAUUUGUUUAGGAAUAUUUUUAAAAUCUAGUAAACAGCUUCUCUAAAAUAGGCGGAAAGAUAUUAUUGGUACCAGGUUUAUCAAACAUAGAUAUAGAUAGAAAUCAUGAGGCUAUUGGAUGUUCCUAAGCCAUAGUGCUAUCUAUUUGACUUCAGUAACAGAAAAUUGAAAUUAUUAUGAUGUGUGAAAGCAUACUCUUAGAAACUAAUUUGUGUAUCUAAUAGAAUUACAGAGGAUUGCUGCAUGCACUGUCAAGGUUAAAGCAUUUCUAUUGGAUUUUCUGUGGCUUCAUUCUUGCUCGGUUGGUCUUUGGUGCGUAUUUUCCAGGGUAAUCAUUGGAAAUGAACAGCACAGACCUUGGAUAAAUAUGGGGUAGGUUGGUUUUGGAAUGGUGAAAAACAACAUUUAUAAAUGAAUGAUUUUUGCUUUUUUUUGUUCAUAUUAAGUGUCUCAACCUGUAUUGACACCCACAGAAGCACGAUCAAGAAUUGUACAUCUGAAAACUGCGGCAGUCAGAACCGAACACGGAGAAGCAGCGUCCAGUUCUUCAGCUUCACGUAUCUGGAACAAAUUCCCAGAGAGCUGCAGGUCUGCCGAGAUUCCGGCAGCUUCAAAUUAAGACUGAAGACGUUUCUCUUUGCUGCUGCUUUUAAUUUAACCAGAUUAAGUCAAUUCAGCAGGUUCUUUUUUUAUAAAUCUCAGUUUUCAUUAUGACUCCGAUUUGAUGACUCUGAUUUACACUCACCAUGUGUCCCCCUUGUUUCAGGUGUGUUCACUUCCCUCAUGUCUUCCCAGCCUUAGCAGCUGCCCUUCCCGAUUGUGUCCACCUGUGUUUCAUUAACAUCCCUUCCCCUUGUGUACUUAAGGGGUGUGCACUGUGUUGUUUGCGCGCCAGUUUGUCUUGUACUAUUUGUCAAGUGUGGCAGGACCUUUGUGCCAAACUAGUUAGUGGUUUCCUGGUCAAGCCUUCGACCCCGAUUACCCUUUCUGGAUGCCGUCUCUUGUCUCUUGCCUUCUACUAGUUUGUGUUGCAAACCCUGCCUGUCCUUGACCAUGUUUUUGUAAAUAAUGCUUCCUGUGACAUAAUCCCCAAGUUGUGAACCUUAAAAACAGUAUAGUGAAUCUAUUGUAAGCUUCUUUAUUAUUUAGUGUCGGUUUUUGAUUUUUUAAUCAACAAUUUUCUUAAAGAUUUUUAAAUUUUCUUUCUUUUUGUUUUGGUGGUUUUGAUGGUACAAUGUGCAAGACUGAAUUGAUUUUUUGUUGAAAUGCGAUACAAUGCAAAGUGCUACACAAAUAAACCUGCCUUGGCUACA
This is a non-coding RNA of Gasterosteus aculeatus aculeatus (three-spined stickleback), 4332 nucleotides long. The record is from RefSeq and is a predicted model, not a curated record. Lineage: Eukaryota; Metazoa; Chordata; Actinopteri; Perciformes; Gasterosteidae.